This is a long non-coding RNA of Pan troglodytes (chimpanzee), 1734 nucleotides long. RefSeq lists it as uncharacterized. The record is from RefSeq and is a predicted model, not a curated record. NCBI's taxonomy places the organism in Eukaryota, Metazoa, Chordata, Mammalia, Primates, Hominidae. The transcript has 11 exons.
UCUCGCUCUGUCGCACAGGCUGGAGUGCAGUGGCAUGAUCUAGGCUCACUGCAAGCUCCACCUCCCGGGUUCAGGCCAUUCUCCUGCCUCAGCCUCCCGAGCAGCUGGGACUACAGAUGUUCUAGCUUUUCCAAAUUUUGUCAUUGAGAAUGCCAGCCCUCUUCUGGAAAAUGCCUCUGAACAUACGCAGGUUACCAAAGUCACUGUGUCUGUCUCACCUCAUGCUUCUCUGGUUGGAGAUCCUGUUAUUAUUAAUGCAAAUCCUGCAGUCCAUCCAUUUGUGCUGUCUCAUAGAUCCAUACAUCUUUGGGAAUUAUUCACCACUGGAGUACCCAAGCUGGACUUUGAGAUGGUGACACUCUAUUCCCUGAUAAUCUAUGCCAAAGACAACCAAGGGGCAACAGCAUCACAGACAAUUUUAAUCCAGAUUGCAGAUGUGAAUGAACCGCCCACCUUCGCUGGAUCUCUUGCCCAGGGUGACCAAGUACUUCAUUUCCCCGGAGGGCUCUGGCUUUACAAUUGACAGCAUCGGAACAAUUUCCACAGCAGCAGUUUUUGAUUUUGAAAGUGAAUCUAGAAGAUGGAGUCUCACUCUGUCGCCCAGGCUGGAGUGCAGUGGUGCGUAUUUGGCUCAAUCCAACUUCUACUUCCUGGAUUCAAGUGAUUCACCUGCCUCAGCCUCCUGAGUAGCUGGGAGAUUACAGGCCUGGUGUAUCUCAUGGAAGAGUGAUUAUGCACAAGCAAGUUUUUCAAUGGUUAUUAAAGUGUUGACUCUGGAGGACUGUUUACAGCUGGAAAUCUAAAGAUUUUUCUCAUCAAUGUACACAAUAAGGACCCCAUUCUUAUCUACAGCAACUGUGACCAUCAUUGUGAAGGUUGCUCCUGCCAGUGACUUCAGCCCUGUAUUUAAAGCUGCACACUAUUCAUUCUCUGUUCCGGAAACGUUGGGAGCAAAGAAAAGGUCUGAUCGUCGUGUACACAGCUAUAAACACGUACAAAUCCAAUGACUGGUACAUUCCUUUUAUCUUCACUCUGAUGGCUAUUUUCUUGCUGGGUUGAUUUCCUGGGUAUGUUUCCUGCUUUGGAAAUAUGGGAACAUUAUGGAAUGCUGUCAGAAAAUGACCAAGGAAGUCUCCAAGGCCAAACCCAAGCGAUGGAAAUCAAAAGGAAAAUACUGUCACAGGAAACAGAAAUAAAAAAUUAGAAGUAUUAACAUCUCUGGGAACGUAUAUGAAUAUAAUAGCAGAACAGGUGCAAGAAAGUGGAAGAAGACCUCCAGGCACCAGAAGGAGCCCUUGGCAAACAUACAUUCCCUCCUAGAGGUCCAUCCUUUAGAGGAGUCCACAUCCUUAAGAAUUCAUUUGCAAGGAUAGCAUUUUUCCAGCGCCUGAAUGAUUGCUUUUUUGUGUAUAUGAUUGUCACAGGCAGUUUUUCUUGGCUACCUAAAAUUAUAGACAUGAGGCCAGCUGCUUUGUCUGUGUUUAUAGCUUUCUGUGGUCUUCCAUUUCAGGGUGUCUGUGUGAAGGCGGCAGGAGUGGUGAGCUUUGAAUCUCUGAACAUGUUUUGCUGAAAACGAGAUACUAAAUUGACAUAUGUUCAUUGUCUUACUUUGCCCAGUAGAGUGUAUGCUUUUUAAGAUCAGAGACUAUUUUGCUCACUGCUUUAGCCCCAGUACAUGUUUGGCAGAGAGUGGGGACUCUGUAUACAUUUGUGAAUAAAUAAAUUUGAAUAUAU